This 370-nucleotide ribosomal RNA is filed under the name Blastocystis sp. subtype 1. Its description in RNAcentral is "SSU rRNA". It matches the Rfam family "Eukaryotic small subunit ribosomal RNA", at positions 517 to 897 of the family's 1831-position model. Lineage: Eukaryota; Bigyra; Opalinata; Blastocystidae. The record is from RNAcentral.
AGAACAAUGUACAACUCUUAUCGAUAAGCCAUUGGAGGGCAAGUCUGGUGCCAGCAGCCGCGGUAAUUCCAGCUCCAAUAGCGUAUAUUAACGUUGUUGCAGUUAAAAAGCUCGUAGUUGAAGUGUGGGUGAUCGCUGUUGUGAGACUUCGGUCUCUCGACAGUAAGUCACCCCCUUCCAGUAUCCAGUAGUGGGUAUUCAGUUACUUACUACUGUGUGUUGGUCCUUUACUGUGAGAAAAUUAGAGUGUUCAAAGCAGGCGUUUGCUUGAAUAGAUUAGCAUGGAAUAAUAAUUGAAGGCUUUCGUGUUCGAUUUGAUUGGUUUGUUCAUGGAAGCAAGGUUAAAAGGAACAGUUGGGGGUAUUCAUAU